GGCUCAGAACGAACGCUGGCGGCGUGCCUAACACAUGCAAGUCGAACGGAGUCAUGUAGCAAUACAUAUAUGAAGUGGCGGACGGGUGAGUAACACGUAGGUAACCAACCCUCAAGCGGGGGACAACCCAGGGAAACUUGGGCUAAUACCGCAUAAGACCACGGCCUGGGAUGGCUGAGGUAAAAGCUGCACUGUGAGCAAUUCACUUGAGGAUGGGCCUGCGGCCUAUCAGGUAGUUGGUAAGGUAAUGGCUUACCAAGCCUAAGACGGGUAGCCGGACUGAGAGGUUGAACGGCCACACUGGAACUGAGACACGGUCCAGACUCCUAUGGGAGGCAGCAGUGGGGAAUUUUGCGCAAUGGGCGAAAGCCUGACGCAGCGACGCCGCGUGGAGGAUGAAGGUUUUCGGAUUGUAAACUCCUUUUAUAGGGGAAGAUGAAGUGGGUAACCACUUUGACGGUACCCUAUGAAUAAGCCACGGCUAACUCUGUGCCAGCAGCCGCGGUAAGACAGAGGUGGCAAGCGUUGUUCGGAAUUACUGGGCUUAAAGGGCGCGUAGGUGGUGGCAUAAGUCCGAGGUGGAAGGCUGAGGCUUAACCUCAGAAUUGCCUUGGAAACUGUAUCACUUGAGUCAGCAAGGGGAUGGCGGAAUUCCCGGUGUAGCGGUGAAAUGCCUAGAUA
RNAcentral lists this ribosomal RNA (681 nucleotides) under uncultured nitrite-oxidizing bacterium. Its description in RNAcentral is "bacterial SSU rRNA". It matches the Rfam family "Bacterial small subunit ribosomal RNA", at positions 21 to 696 of the family's 1533-position model. The record is from RNAcentral.